RNAcentral lists this ribosomal RNA (245 nucleotides) under uncultured bacterium. RNAcentral describes it as "partial 16S ribosomal RNA". It matches the Rfam family "Bacterial small subunit ribosomal RNA", at positions 524 to 767 of the family's 1533-position model. The record is from RNAcentral.
UACGGAGGGUGCAAGCGUUGUUCGGAUUCACUGGGCGUAAAGGGUGCGUAGGCGGAUCGGCAGGUCGGAUGUGAAACCUCCACAGCUUAACUGGGAGCCUGCAUUCGAAACCGCCGAUCUUGAGUGCGGGAGAGGAGAGCGGAAUUCCUGGUGUAGCGGUGAAAUGCGUAGAUAUCAGGAAGAACACCGGUGGCGAAGGCGGCUCUCUGGCCCGACACUGACGCUCAGGCACGAAGGCUAGGGGA